Molecule: long non-coding RNA, 1448 nt
Organism: Halichondria panicea
Lineage: Eukaryota; Metazoa; Porifera; Demospongiae; Suberitida; Halichondriidae
Exons: 3
Source: RefSeq, a predicted model, not a curated record
UUCAACAACAUCGAUACUACAGCCUCAGAGCAGUUUAGCUUGGGGGAAAGUCAGUCGAGUCAAACGAUGUUACUCUCCAUCGUCACAAAAUUAACAGAGCGAGUAGAAGAGCUAGAAAAACGUGGAUCAACUCACUCAACCGGAGAGCGUCACUAUCCCUAAGUGCAGGGCAACAGGCAACUCUAAAGUGCCUUAGUAGCUCGGGCUACACUUAGAGAAAAAUAUUGGCGAUGGUGUUCGACGAUAUGGAGCUCGCCCAGAUGUGUGCUGUUGGCAAAGUGGGGGCCAAAAAUACCCCUAUGAGAAAAGAAGGUUAUCUUCAAACAAAUCUCUACCCCGAUACUGCAAUCAAUAAUGGCAAAUUUAACGCAGUUGCAGCGCUUGCAGUGGGGUGGGGCUCGGAGAGGCCCGAGCUCUGCACCUGCAUCUGCAGUUACAACUGACUGAACUCAUGUAUACACAGUAUAUCAUCCAAUAAUAUCAUGUAUAUGUGGUUUCCAUGGUGACAACUUUCUCAAAUGGUAUGUAUGCAGGAUAUGAGUAUCAUGCACGCUAAAUACGUGUCAUAUACGUGCAAUAUGAAAGCACCAAUCAUAUUAGGCAUGUAUGUAGCAUGCGUGCACCAUUUGUAUUACACGCAUGGUGCACAUAUGCAGGAUAUGAGUAUCAUGCAUGCUCAAUAUGUAAUAUACGUGCGAUAUGAAAGCACCAAUCAUGUUAGGCAUGUAUGUAGCAUGCGUGCAUUACAUGUGUGCUGCACACAUGCUAUAAACCGUGUGCAGCACACAAGCUUAAAAUACGAGCAGCACACAAGCGGCUACACACACGUGCAGCACACGUACCACAGCUCUAACAAAAGCAUCUAUCCUGCACUCGUCCCACGCCUAUGUCCAAAAUACACCAUGCAGCACGCCAGCAGCACACAUGCUUAUCAAUUGCCAGAUAUGUGCAAGAUGUGAGUGCACGUGUGCUGCUAGUAUGUGCCACACGUGUGCUGCUCACAUCGCAUUUUUGUAAAGGAUACAACUCUUUAUGCUUGUUAGUAAGAGUUUUGUAAUAGCUCUCCACAUCUUCUUCCUGUUCCUGUCUCUUCCCACUCCCCUUGUCACUAUCUCGCUUUUUUUUCUUCGCUGGUGGCGGCUCUAGUUCAACAGCCUCAUCACACCACAAAGUUAUUGCACAGCCACUCGGAAACUUCUUGUACAUAACUUUUAUAUCGUCAGAGGUAACUAACCAAACUUUGCUGGUCUCAAAAUACCCAACUGUGAUGGACUAAUGAGAAAAAAAUCUGAUUUUAAGUAUGUACAGAUGUAAUGGAAUGUACAGAUAUAAUGGAAUGUACAUAUCUAUAUUUAUAGACUCUAUUUUUAGACUGUGGAUCUCAGAUAAGUCUGAGUCACAUGUGUUUUUUUGUCAGUUCUCUCAAUUUAUUGAUUUUAUUAAAAUGA